RNAcentral lists this ribosomal RNA (207 nucleotides) under uncultured bacterium. Its description in RNAcentral is "partial 16S ribosomal RNA". It matches the Rfam family "Bacterial small subunit ribosomal RNA", at positions 568 to 775 of the family's 1533-position model. The record is from RNAcentral.
CGCGUAGGCGGCCUGUUAAGUCUGGAGUGAAAGUCCUGUUUUAAGGCGGGAAUUGCUUUGGAUACUGAUGGGCUUGAGUGCAGGAGAGGUUAUCGGAAUUCCCGGUGUAGCGGUGAAAUGCGUAGAGAUCGGGAGGAACACCAGUGGCGAAGGCGGGUAACUGGACUGCAACUGACGCUGAGGCGCGAAAGUGUGGGGAGCAAACAG